This 461-nucleotide ribosomal RNA is filed under the name uncultured bacterium. RNAcentral describes it as "partial 16S ribosomal RNA". It matches the Rfam family "Bacterial small subunit ribosomal RNA", at positions 29 to 507 of the family's 1533-position model. The record is from RNAcentral.
AUGAACGCUGACAGAAUGCUUAACACCUGCAAGUCUUUGGCGAAGCUGUGCUUGCACAGCCUAGCCAAGGCGGACGGGUGAGUAACGCGUAAGGAACUUGCCCUGCAGUCAGGGAUAACAGACGGAAACGACUGAUAAGACCUGGUAAAGUCAGGCGGACUCAUGUCCAGCCUGAUGAAAAGAGAUGCUGCAGGAGAGCCUUGCGUCCUAUUAGCUUGUUGGUGGGGUAACGGCCCACCAAGGCGAUGAUAGGUAGCCGGCCUGAGAGGGUGGACGGCCACAAGGGGACGGAGAUACGGCCCUUACUCCUACGGGAGGCAGCAGUGGGGAAUAUUGGACAAUGGGGGCAACCCUGAUCCAGCAAUUCUGUGUGCACGAUGAAGGUUUUCGGAUUGUAAAGUGCUUUCAGCAGGGAAGAAAAAAUGACGGUACCUGCAGAAGAAGCGACGGCUAAAUACGUG